This 203-nucleotide long non-coding RNA is filed under the name Elaeis guineensis (African oil palm). RNAcentral describes it as "long non-coding RNA (EGUI_LNC009404)". Lineage: Eukaryota; Viridiplantae; Streptophyta; Magnoliopsida; Arecales; Arecaceae. The record is from RNAcentral.
UCUAAAGUUCAUGAGGUGGUCAUGGGGUUUCUAGGGUUAGUUUGGGCCCUAGGACUUCUAGGGUUAGUUUGGGCCCUAGGAUAAAAGGCUAUCAGUCUUUUGGAUCUUGAGGUCUAAGGAUUUUGAGUCUUGAGAGGCUAACUUAUAUUUGGACUAAGAUUGAGUUCAAGAUUAUGAGAUUGAGUCAACUCAUGAGUAUACAU